UACGGGGGGUGCGAGCGUUGUCCGGAAUCGCUGGGCGUAAAGGGCGCGUAGGUGGUUUGAUAAGGGUGUGGUGAAAGUCCGGAGCUCAACUCCGGAUCUGCCGUGCCGACUGUCAAACUCGAGGGCUGUAGAGGCAGACGGAAUUCCGGGUGUAGCGGUGGAAUGCGUAGAGAUCCGGAGGAAGACCGGUGGCGAAGGCGGUCUGCUGGGCAGUUUCUGACACUGAGGCGCGACAGCGUGGGGAGCAAACAGG
RNAcentral lists this ribosomal RNA (253 nucleotides) under uncultured bacterium. RNAcentral describes it as "partial 16S ribosomal RNA". It matches the Rfam family "Bacterial small subunit ribosomal RNA", at positions 524 to 776 of the family's 1533-position model. The record is from RNAcentral.